RNAcentral lists this unclassified non-coding RNA (285 nucleotides) under plant metagenome. RNAcentral describes it as "partial contains small subunit ribosomal RNA, internal transcribed spacer 1, and 5.8S ribosomal RNA". The stretch from base 1 to 54 matches the Rfam family "Eukaryotic small subunit ribosomal RNA", at positions 1778 to 1831 of the family's 1831-position model. The record is from RNAcentral.
GGAAGUAAAGGUCGUAACAAGGUUUCCGUAGGUGAACCUGCGGAAGGAUCAUUAUUGUAUAACCGAGGUGCGAGGGCUGUCGCUGACCCGAAAGGUCGUGCACGCCCGAGUGCCCUCACACACAUCCAUCUCACCCCUAUGUGCAUCACCGCGUGGGUCCCCCUUUGGCUUGUUCGGAGGGGGGCUUACGUUUUCACACAAACUUUGUAUGCAGUGUAGAAUGUAUUUUUUGUUUUUGCGAUCACGCAAUCAAUACAACUUUCAACAACGGAUCUCUUGGCUCUC